GUUGUACACUGAGCUCUUGCUUCAUACUUCCAGAAAAAACAUGGACAAAAAUUCAAAUACAUUUUUCAAUGAAAUUUAAAAAAUCGCCAAGUAUGCUACAGUAAAUAUUAAAAUUUUAGAAACUUCAGGAGUUAUAUUUAAAAAGAUGGCAGUAACCGGUUUUUUUAUGGCAAUAAUAUUAAACACCCAAUUCAAAUUGUCAGUGGUACAGUUGCACUAAGAAAAAAAUUCCUGAAACAAUUGUUUAUAAAAAACCUAAUAAUUUUGUUUGAUUUAAAAUUGACUUAAAAUACAAUAAAUAUUUUCAUUGGUUAUGAAAAUAGUGAUUCACUAUAAAAUAAAUAUUAUGUAUAUAUCAGCUAUGAAAAUGACUAAUUUCUUGAUUUUUCAUAGCUGCCAAUAUUUAUACCAAUAUAUUAACCAGUUAGUUAGACUCUGUAGUCAAGGGAACAAGACCCUAUUUCAGUUCAAAAUCAAUCUGAUUGCAUCGCUCAUGAAUAAUUUUAGUGUCAGAGACCCAAGAAACUUAUAAUGGAUCAGGAAAAUCAACUCAAAUAUAUAACGAAGAAAAAUAUGAUUGGAAAUAAUAUUUUCAUUGGUUAUGAAAAUAGUGAUACACUAUAAAAUAAACAUUAUGUAUAUAUCGGCUAUGAAAAUGACUGAUUUCUUGAUUUUUCAUAGCUGCCAAUAUUUAUACCAAUAUAUUAACCAGUUAGUUAGACUCUGUGGUCAAGACCCUAUUUCAGUUCAAAAUCAAUCUGAUUUCAUCGCUCAUGAAUAAUUUUAGUGUCGGAGACCCAAGAACCUUAUAAUGGAUCAGGAAAAUCAACUCAAAUAUAUAACGAAGAAAGAUAUGAUUGGAAAUCAAUUCACGGCUAAUACAUUUUUUAUCUCUGUAUAAAAUUUACUCAGUUAAUGAUAAUGAGUUUGAAGACAAAGACAAAUAUUGCUAUCUUGACCAAAAGUCAUCAACUGUGAAUGGCUUUUUAAAGAAUAAGCUCUUAUAGAUUUUGCAGAAUAUAUGAAAGAAGGUAAGAAAAUGUUAUCAAAUUAUACUUAUAAAAAAUAUUUAUAUUUAUAUAUGUUUAAUAUUAAUAUAAUAUUUUCUAUCCAUGCCUGUGAAUUUUGUUUUAUAUUAGAAUAUAAAUAAAUCUUUGGUUUAGAUUGAAUGCAACAAAAGAGUAUAUAGGUUUUUUUUUUUUUUUGUGUGUUACUGUUAUCAUCAAACAACUUAGUUUAUAGUUAUGUUUUCUUUUGAAUUUGGCUUUAUUUUUAAAUGUAAAAUGUUUAAAUUAAUUUCAAUUUCACUUAAUGGUGGGAUGUGGAAUAGUACAUUUAGUACAUGAGUAGUGCAAUUAUAUUUUCACUCCUACACUGCUUCGGUGUGUGAUUUUCCUAAAUGGUAAAAAUGAAAAUUCAUCUAUGAACACAUAAAGCAUUGUAGUAGUAUUUCUGUUGGGAGAUUAUGAUGUAGUCAAUUUGAGAUAAUUUUCUUUUCAAUUUUUCCAUAGGAUUUCAAAUACAUUCUUGGGGUUACUUAUUCAAUGAACUGUAAGGCCAAAAUUAUCCUUCCAUAAGUCAUUUAAUAUUAUGAUCAGCAUAUUCUAGGUUUAAUGUUGUUAAUUCUUGUAGGAAAAGUCAGCUUGUUAAUUUUAUUUCAUUAAUUUAUUAUUAUUUUUGUUAAUAUGUUUUUUUUUAUUUUUUUGCAGUAAGAAAACUUAACACAAAACCUAGAAAUUUGCACGAGUUUGAUAUAUAUAGACAUACACAAAUAAAAUUAAGUUACAGUUAAGUUAUUAACUUGAUUAUAAAGUAAGAUUUUUUUUUUUUUAUUUGUUUCUUGUAGGAAUAAAAAGAAGUUUUCUUUUGUGGUUAUUUUUAUUAGUAUUAUUAGAUAACAUUUAUUACCUUUCAUAUAUUCUUCAUGAUCAAUAAGAGCUUAUUCUUUAAAAAGCCAUUUAAAGUUGAUGGUAUUUGGUCAAGAUAAUAAUAUUCCUCUUUGUCUUCAAAUUCAUCUUUAGUUGAGUAAAUUUUAUAUUAAAAUAAAACAUGUAUUAGCCAAUACAUUUUUUAUGCCAUGUAUAUGAUGUAAAUGAUUUCCAAUCAUGUUUUUCUUCAUUAUAUAUUUGAUUUGAUUAUCUGUGUUGUCCAUUGUUUCUUUGAUCUAUUACACUAAAAUUAUUCAUGAUCUAUGAAACCAGAUUGAUUUUGAUAUUGAUUUUGAUCUUGAUCUGAGAUACAGUCUUGUUCCCUUGAUCACACCAUCUAAAUAAAUGUUUAAUAUAUUGGUAUAAACUUAUAAGCAGUAUAUUUUUAUUGCUUAUUGGCAGCUAUGAAAAAUCAAGAAAAUAGUAAUUUUCAUAUCCAAUAUAUACAUAAUGUUAAUUUUAUAGUGUAUCACUAUUUUCAUAACCAAUGAUAAUAUUUAUUGUAUUUUAAGUCAAUUUUAAAUCACACAGAAUUAUCAGUUUUUUUAUAAAUAAUUGUUUUAGGAAUUUUUUUUCUUAGUGCAACUGUACCACUGUUACUGCCAUCUUUGUAAAUAUAAUUCCUGAAGUUUAUAAAGUUUUACUAUUUACUGUAGCAUACUUAUCGGUUUUUUUUUUUAAAAUUGAGCUGGGAGUUCAAUACUGGAUUUUGUUAUUUUUGUUUUAUAGUCUCGAGUCCUAUAUAAUUCCACAUGAUCUAGAAAAAAUUUGUUGUAAAUUUUAUCCAUCUUUUAAUUGUCACAGAAAAUUGGCAACAAAGUUAUCACUUGGUUGUGUUGAAGAUACAGGUGAUAUGUAAAUAGGAUUUUUUGAAAUAAUUAAAAAAUUAGAAUUCAUUAAACUUGUUCUUGUUUAUGAAUUUUGCAUAGACUUUCUACGAACUUUCUUUUAUUUUUAAUAUUUGAGGUCACAAAUUAGUACUUCCAUAGUUUUUUAAAUUGAGCUGGAUGUUCAUAAUUGAAUAUAUUUUCAUUGUUUAAAAAUAUUGAUAUUGCUAUUAAAAUAGUAAACAGCAUUUUCUCUGUCUUUUGUUCAUUGUGUCCACAAGCUACCAUAUCCCAAAACCAGUAGUUAUGUGUUUCGGAGAAAUAUACAAUUAACGGUUUUGGUGUAUGACAUAUGGAAUGUUCAUGGUUACACUGAAUAACAGUCAAGGAAAUGUUCCCCAUUACAUUUUUAAACAUUUUUCAAAUAUAUUACAAUAGAGCAAUGUCUCCAUUGUUUUUCAACUUAAUUUUUUUAAUCCAUUCAUUUUUUAUUGAUAAAUUUGUUGUUUUUGUAAUGUCUUAUUCAUUAAAAUAUCUUAAAAUAGUUUUAUUUUAUCCAUCAUUUACUUCUGUAAUCCAAUUUGGUGUAUAUUCACCCAUUCACUGAAUGCAUGAUUAUGUUAAGAUAAUUUAACUUUAAAUACAUUUUUUCUAUUUUUAUUUGUUUGUUCAACAUAAAUAAUAACGAAUGUUUAGUAAUAAGUUAUUUUAAUAGUUGUAAUAAGUUAUUAGUUUUGUAAUUGAAUUAAAGCAAUUAAAAUUUACAAUUCUAUGUACCUAUUGAUGUUAAAUGUUUGUACAUUCUAUUUUUUAUUGUUCUUAUAACAUGUUCAACUAUGCUUUAUACUACUGUAUUUACUGUCAUGUUUAAUACUAUAACUAUCUUGACUGUACCUAUAUUUAAAAUGCAUUAUUAGAUAAUCAAUAAAUUAUUAUUAUAUAUAUAUAAUAUUUAAAAUUAAUAAAAUGGUAUUAAUUAUUACUUGAGUAUAAUGAAACUAACAACAUCGCAAUAUGGUCUCUGGAAAUACAACUUGUGCUUUCAUCAAGGCACGUUUAUAAUCCAUUAUGAUAUUCAAAUGGUUAUAGGUUAAUGGAAGCAUGUUGCAUACCACUCUGAAAAACUCUACAAAUGUUUCUUCAGUUAAACCUAAUGGAACCCAGAACAAAAAGCAAGUGGAAAAAAAAGCAAUAAAUAUACAUUUAAAUAUUAUAAUAUAAAAAGUAAUAUUAUUGGUAGGAACUACAUAAUAUUAGUACCAUAUAAUAGGUACUUACACUAUAUUUCAAUACCAUCUACUAUAUUAUAUAUUCAAUAAUAAUGUUUUAAACGUUUUCACAAAAAUAAUUAUCAGAGCAAGUUAUUGAAAUCUUCAGUCCAUAAUCGAAAGUAUCAAAAAUGACUACUACUGUAGUGUAUAUAUAAAAUAUAUAAAAACAAACUUAAAAUAAACAUAGCUAUAGCAUAAUAUUGUUGAAAAAAUAAAUUAUCUA
Molecule: non-coding RNA, 4249 nt
Organism: Cinara cedri
Lineage: Eukaryota; Metazoa; Arthropoda; Insecta; Hemiptera; Aphididae
Source: the annotation of a GenBank genome assembly